GACGAACGCUGGCGGCGUGCUUAACACAUGCAAGUCGAACGGAAAGGCCCUGCUUGCAGGGUACUCGAGUGGCGAACGGGUGAGUAACACGUGGGUGAUCUGCCCUGCACUUUGGGAUAAGCCUGGGAAACUGGGUCUAAUACCGGAUAGGAGCCAUUCUUAGUGUGAUGGUUGGAAGGUUUUUUCGGUGUAGGAUGAGCUCGCGGCCUAUCAGCUUGUUGGUGGGGUAAUGGGCUACCAAGGCGGCGACGGGUAGCCGGCCUGGGAGGGUGGACGGCCACAUUGGGACUGAGAUAAGGCCCAGACUCCCACGGGCGGCCGCCGUGGGGGCUCUUGCCCCCUGGGCGCCAGCCUGAUGCAGCGACGCCGCGGGGGGGAUGACGGCCUUCGGGUUGUAAACUCCUUUCGCCCGGGGACACGCUUUUUGUGCCGGUCCCUCGCUCAGCCGCCCCGGCUCCCUACGUG
This 465-nucleotide ribosomal RNA is filed under the name uncultured bacterium. RNAcentral describes it as "partial 16S ribosomal RNA". It matches the Rfam family "Bacterial small subunit ribosomal RNA", at positions 28 to 507 of the family's 1533-position model. The record is from RNAcentral.